This 253-nucleotide ribosomal RNA is filed under the name uncultured bacterium. Its description in RNAcentral is "partial 16S ribosomal RNA". It matches the Rfam family "Bacterial small subunit ribosomal RNA", at positions 524 to 776 of the family's 1533-position model. The record is from RNAcentral.
UACAGAGGUGGCAAGCGUUGUUCGGAAUUACUGGGCGUAAAGGGCGCGUAGGCGGUUCGUUAAGUCCUGUGUGAAAUCCCCCGGCUCAACUGGGGAACUGCACAGGAAACUAGCGGGCUUGAGUUCGGGAGAGGGAAGCGGAAUUCCGGGUGUAGCGGUGAAAUGCGUAGAUAUCCGGAGGAACACCGGUGGCGAAGGCGAGUCCCUGGACAACACCUGACACUGAGGCACGAAAGCUAGGGGAGCAAACAGG